Molecule: long non-coding RNA, 351 nt
Filed under: Homo sapiens (human)
Lineage: Eukaryota; Metazoa; Chordata; Mammalia; Primates; Hominidae
Description: novel transcript
Source: RNAcentral
GUGGAAAGAGGGAGAAGGCUGGGCCGGAAGAGAACAACACCCACGCCUGGACGGAUCCGCGGCACCUUCAUGAGGCUCAUGGGGACAGGGACAGUCAGGCCUGCUGUCCACAUGGCUGGGAGCCACCCACACAGCCCUCGCCUGGCUCUGCCUCCAGGUGACGCUGGCUAUUCCUGGGAAAGGCCACCCUGCCUCCCUGGGCUGCUGCACCUGCCUCAUGGACAUAAAGGGCUCCACCUGCCUGACUCACUUCCAAUGUGGUAUGACCUUAAAUAACAGGAGAAGGAGGAGGAGAGCUUUGAAAACUGAGCCUGGUGCUUGUGUCUGUUCCCACCACCAGGCAGCUGGUGU